CGAAGAUGGUUCAAAGAGCAUCUAUGUGUGACCUAAAGGACUGCUGCCAAAUCAAUGCCUGCCUGGAUGAUUCAGACUCAUUAGGGAUGCAGCAAUUCUACUGCUGCCUUCCAUUUUCAGAGAGGACUCAUCCUUUCUAUACACUCUACUGGAGGAGCCAAGCGUGCCUACUCCAGCAAUCAUGCUCCAUAACACACACGAGGGGAACCCUUUGCAGGCACAAAGGAUAGUCCUAUACCUGGAUGGUAUACAGGUUUUGACUGAGGACAGCAGCAUGGACAAAUCAUAUGCUAUGAGUGCAUUAAUGUCACUCUAUAUUGUUUUUGCUGUCCAGUACCCAAAGGAACUGAGAAAAACUCUUAUUUUCAUUGAAAGAUUUGUGUUGGGGAUCAAGGACCACAGUGUUGUACCCAUUUCAGUGAAGAGACUAUACAACUGUGUCGGAAGUGGGGAGUAGUGAGUAGAUGUGUUGCAGCAUGGGAUUUCAUGCUUUAUGUUCUUGUUAAUGGUCAAAUUCCUGCUGCUGCCCUUUGUUUGUACAUAUUGAUAAAAAAAUAUCCCUUAUUUAAUACAUAUUUUGGACCAAUACAUUUUGUUUGAUUUUGGCAUAGUGACGUCUCUAGAUUUCCAUUAUUGUUACAAUACGUAACAUUUUGAGUACUUAUUACAUAACACUGAAAAGUAUUUCAACAUUAUUUAAAUCAAUGUGAAAACUUUGUGGGAUUCCCUCACUUUCUCAUGAUUCUGUUCCACUGUCACAAUUAGUACAUACAGUAUGUACACUGAUUCUUUUCAUUGGACCAUGCAUUAUUUUAUUGUUUGUAGAUAGCUUACAAUAAGGCGCAGUAAAUAAAUAAAUAAAUGAUAAAUGGGUUGUACUUGUAUAGCGCUUUUCUACCUUCAAGGUACUCAAAGCGCUUUGACACUACUUCCACAUUUACCCAU
This is a non-coding RNA of Nerophis lumbriciformis (worm pipefish), 945 nucleotides long. NCBI's taxonomy places the organism in Eukaryota, Metazoa, Chordata, Actinopteri, Syngnathiformes, Syngnathidae. The record is from RefSeq and is a predicted model, not a curated record.